This is a long non-coding RNA of Caretta caretta (loggerhead turtle), 986 nucleotides long. RefSeq lists it as uncharacterized. NCBI's taxonomy places the organism in Eukaryota, Metazoa, Chordata, Testudines, Cheloniidae. The record is from RefSeq and is a predicted model, not a curated record.
GCUGCAAGGGGUUUGAUUGGUGAGAGCUCUCUGCUUCUCAACAGGCAAACUUAAAGCUUCUGUUUCUGUUCUGGUGUGGGCAGAAGAGGACGCUUCCUUGCACACGUUGCAUCUCACUCAUAGAGGUUUAACAUGAAGACUGUCCUGCUUGUCACUGCUCUUCUCUUGAUGCCUUUAACUUCUGCUGAAACGGGAACACCCACUGCGACAAGUAAACCGAACCACGAAAAUCCCAGACACAGCCUGGGCACACCCUGCUGUGUGCCACCUUCUCUUUUGCUGGUGUCUGCCUUGGCAGCAGUUUACUUCCUCCAAGCAAAAUGAGCCCCCUGCACUUCACUCCCCAGAGAGAUGUCAACGCUGCCUUCUGCCUGCCACCAUCUCAGCCUCUCUGCUGAGCCUGCCAAUCUCUGCUGAGCCUGCCAACCCUGCUGCAGCCUGCCAAUCCGCGUAACCCAGCCAGCAUUAUGGCUCCAGCUGAAGUCUUCCCGCAACACACCCACUGCGCCCUUUUCUUCGCAGCCAUCGGCUUCUUUCCUUGUUUCCCAUCAGAGCCAUUCAUUCCACCAACUGCAAUGGAAUCCCGGCAGCAGAGUCCAGCUUUGCAUGGAGCUUCCCAUUAGAAUCGCAUUGGAUAGGCAGAUGCAUGUCUCACCGCAACACCUGAGGAGCCUUGCCAUUGAUUGACCAGCUCCUGUGCAGAAUGGGCCUCUCCAAAGAGACAGAGAUUGCAACAAGAGUGUUUUGUUGCAUGCUUGUGUAUGUAUUGCACUAAUCUGAAGUUCCCGAGGACUAGCCACUGGAAGACAGAGAUCAACUCCUGGUGCUGAGACACCCCACCCAGCAGUGGGCAGCAAUCCCCAUUCCAUGAAGACAUGUUCUGAUGCUUUGAGAAAUUAAUGUGAAUAUAAAUGCUUUGGGGUCUUUCUGAUCCCUGCAGAGUGGCAGCCAGCUCAACCUAAUAAAAUGAAAGACAAGCUUUCUUA